CAGUCGAGCGGUAGAGAGAAGCUUGCUUCUCUUGAGAGCGGCGGACGGGUGAGUAAUGCCUAGGAAUCUGCCUGGUAGUGGGGGAUAACGUUCGGAAACGGACGCUAAUACCGCAUACGUCCUACGGGAGAAAGCAGGGGACCUUCGGGCCUUGCGCUAUCAGAUGAGCCUAGGUCGGAUUAGCUAGUUGGUGAGGUAAUGGCUCACCAAGGCGACGAUCCGUAACUGGUCUGAGAGGAUGAUCAGUCACACUGGAACUGAGACACGGUCCAGACUCCUACGGGAGGCAGCAGUGGGGAAUAUUGGACAAUGGGCGAAAGCCUGAUCCAGCCAUGCCGCGUGUGUGAAGAAGGUCUUCGGAUUGUAAAGCACUUUAAGUUGGGAGGAAGGGCAGUUACCUAAUACGUGAUUGUUUUGACGUUACCGACAGAAUAAGCACCGGCUAACUCUGUGCCAGCAGCCGCGGUAAUACAGAGGGUGCAAGCGUUAAUCGGAAUUACUGGGCGUAAAGCGCGCGUAGGUGGUUUGUUAAGUUGGAUGUGAAAUCCCCGGGCUCAACCUGGGAACUGCAUUCAAAACUGACUGACUAGAGUAUGGUAGAGGGUGGUGGAAUUUCCUGUGUAGCGGUGAAAUGCGUAGAUAUAGGAAGGAACACCAGUGGCGAAGGCGMCCACCUGGAMUAAUACUGACWYUGAGGUGYGAAAGCGUGGGGAGCAAACAGGAUUAGAUACCCUGGUAGUCCACGCCGUMAACGAUGUCAACUAGCCGUUGGAAGCCUUGAGCUUUUAGUGG
This 792-nucleotide ribosomal RNA is filed under the name Pseudomonas sp. THA5.5. RNAcentral's name for it is "bacterial SSU rRNA". It matches the Rfam family "Bacterial small subunit ribosomal RNA", at positions 59 to 846 of the family's 1533-position model. The record is from RNAcentral. Lineage: Bacteria; Pseudomonadati; Pseudomonadota; Gammaproteobacteria; Pseudomonadales; Pseudomonadaceae.